RNAcentral lists this ribosomal RNA (464 nucleotides) under Vreelandella stevensii. Its description in RNAcentral is "partial 16S ribosomal RNA". It matches the Rfam family "Bacterial small subunit ribosomal RNA", at positions 338 to 795 of the family's 1533-position model. The record is from RNAcentral. Lineage: Bacteria; Pseudomonadati; Pseudomonadota; Gammaproteobacteria; Oceanospirillales; Halomonadaceae.
CCUACGGGUGGCAGCAGUGGGGAAUAUUGGACAAUGGGCGAAAGCCUGAUCCAGCCAUGCCGCGUGUGUGAAGAAGGCCUUCGGGUUGUAAAGCACUUUCAGUGGGGAAGAAAGCCUUGGGGCUAAUACCCUCGAGGAAGGACAUCACCCACAGAAGAAGCACCGGCUAACUCCGUGCCAGCAGCCGCGGUAAUACGGAGGGUGCGAGCGUUAAUCGGAAUUACUGGGCGUAAAGCGCGCGUAGGCGGUCUGAUAAGCCGGUUGUGAAAGCCCCGGGCUCAACCUGGGAACGGCAUCCGGAACUGUCAGGCUAGAGUGCAGGAGAGGAUGGUAGAAUUCCCGGUGUAGCGGUGAAAUGCGUAGAGAUCGGGAGGAAUACCAGUGGCGAAGGCGGCCUUCUGGACUGACACUGACGCUGAGGUGCGAAAGCGUGGGUAGCAAACAGGAUUAGAUACCUGGUAGUC